This 454-nucleotide ribosomal RNA is filed under the name uncultured bacterium. RNAcentral describes it as "bacterial SSU rRNA". It matches the Rfam family "Bacterial small subunit ribosomal RNA", at positions 29 to 524 of the family's 1533-position model. The record is from RNAcentral.
AAUGAACGCUGGCGGCAGGCCUAAAACAUGCAAGUCGAACGCUGUAGCAAUACAGAGUGGCGCACGGGUGAGUAACAUGUGGGAAUAUGCCUAUUGGUACGGAACAACGUUUGGAAACGAACGCUAAUACCGUAUGGUCCCUUCGGGGUAAAGAUUUAUCGCCAAUAGAUUAGCCCGCACUAGAUUAGCUAGUUGGUGAGGUAAGAGCUCACCAAGGCGACGAUCUAUAGCCGGUCUGAGAGGACGAUCAGCCACACUGGGACUGAGACACGGCCCAGACUCCUACGGGAGGCAGCAGUUAGGAAUAUUGGACAAUGGGCGCAAGCCUGAUCCAGCCAUGCCGCGUGAGUGAUGAAGGCCUCGGGUUGUAAACGUACUUAGUCCGAUGAAUAUAAUGACUGUAGUCGGAAAAUAAAGACCCGGCCUAACUUACGUUGCCAGCAGCCGCGGUAAU